Long non-coding RNA from Pezoporus occidentalis (night parrot), 1407 nucleotides. RefSeq lists it as uncharacterized. The transcript has 3 exons. Lineage: Eukaryota; Metazoa; Chordata; Aves; Psittaciformes; Psittacidae. The record is from RefSeq and is a predicted model, not a curated record.
GCACCAACACCUGGUGUCCUUUUGCUGAACUCUGUCAGCUCUCUAUUUUCAGUUGCUUUCCGGAGGAGUCUGUGUUCUUUGCCAAGGAAGUUCUCUAGGUGUAAAAGCUUUGCUAGUGUUCAUACCCAGCACUUCCAAAGUGUUGACAGAGUGAAACAUAAAGCAUGUAUAGAAGACAGAUGUGGCAAUUUCUGAAAUGUUAAGCUGUUUGGUGUCCAGUGUGCAUUUCUGCACCCUUCCAUUCAGUGAUCCAUUGGAUCAUUUGCACUUCCUGUGGGCCCCAUAAUCCCUGGGACAAAGAACCUCCUGCUACAGCUUCAACAGGAGCAUUACGGGGGCAGAGUGGUCACACUGCCCACAUGCUUCUUUCUCUGCACCUGCACUGAGCAACCAUGGUGACAACAGGCCUUUCGUUCCUCCAAAAUGUCACUGUCUAAAAUAAGAGAACUCCUACACUGCCUUAAACGUUUUGAUUUCUUUAGCUGAAGCACUGGCAUUGUCAAUGAAUAAUUUGACUAGUUAAAUUUAUGUCAAGUCAUAUGAUUUGACUGUUGGUAAUUGAAUGGGAUGAGAGGAAAUAUUGUAAAAUAGCAUAACCUAGCUCUUGCAAAGACUAUUAUACAGUACAAUGAAAGGAGCUGAAUAAAGAUACAGGCAGGGAAAUAUUACUAAAGAUUAUGAAACAACUUAAAACGGUCAAAUCUGACAGCUAUAUGUUAUGAGCCGUAAGCUCAGAAACAGGAUUGUAAGUAGCUGUUCCCAAAUGUAAGGAAAUUACAAAAUUACUGUAGUUCUAGCUGCUAUUAAAGGACUUGGGAAAACACUGCAAUCCCAUGAAUUCAGGUUCUGUAUGCUGACUGCAGAUAAGAGUUAUUAUCACCUGGCAUUUCAUGUAGGUUAACCCUUAAGCACUCCUGACACACAGUCCCACUUGUAGAUUGCUAUCAUGAUGUCCUUCAAGUGCUUCAGAGCUACUCAGGAAUAGACAGCACACAGCAAAACACUGAUAACUCUAUUGCUGUAAGGUUCAAUGUGACAUUUUUAAUAUAUUCUGAGCUUACAUUCCUGAAAGAAGCUUUUAAGCUUUGAAACAAAGGAAGAACUUUUUGCAAAAUAUUUCUUUUUAAGAGCCUGCACACUUCUGGCAUAAUAGAAAGGAGUUGGCAAAAGAAAGUCUGACAUACCAAGUGCAAAGAGAUCUUGAUCUUGUUCAGACUAAUUCUUAUUAGCAGUAAUCAGCGCGUACUUUUAAACAUACACAAGUGAAUAUACUUGAAUACAUGGAUGUUAAAAGCAUGCAUGUGUUUUCUCUCAAAAGUUGAAGAGGUGCAUAUAGCACUCAGAAAAGUGGUACUUUGAAAACAAAAAGCUUAACCAGUAAUGCUCAGAAUCACCUUGAGGCUUGUU